GGAAGGAUCAUUUCCAAAAAAAAACAAAAAAAUAUAAACCAACCUUUGUGAAGAGUUGAUAUUCUUUUUUUUACUUUGGGUGUGGGGAAAAAGUAUAGUAUUUGGUGUUUGAAGAAAAUGCGAGAUCAAACUUAAAUGUUUUGACUAACAUCGAAAUCACAUUGAUUCUAUAUGUACAUAACCCCGUCCAAAGGCCAUGAUGAACUACCUCAUUGAGGUCGAUGUCCUAUUUAUAUUUUUUCAAUCAUACGAAAGUAUAUAACAAAUGACAUGACAACUUUUAACGGUGGAUCUCUUGGCUCGUGCAUCGAUGAAGAACGCAGCAAACUGCGAUACGUAAUGUGAAUUGCAGGAUUCAGUGAAUCAUCGAUCUUUGAACGCAAAUGGCACUGCAGGGUUCUCUCUGCAGUAUGUCUGUUUGAGUGUCAGAUCUUUUUCUCUCGAUUCUUUAUUAAAGGGGUAACAGCCUUUAAUAUUGUGAUUGGGGCUAGAUAUGAGGUGUUGACUUUUUGCUUGGAGAGAGUUGAGAAAAAGAGUUUGGUGAUUUAUCAUUAUUCUCUUCCUCUUCACUUGACAAAAUAAGAGACAUCCCUUUAAAUUUACCAAAUAUAAAAGGGCGGUUGGGGUUAUUUUCUUUGGUGAUCAUAACAUUAUUCCCAAUUUUUACACUAUAAUCAGGGAAGGCAACUGGUGCAUAUAUUUAUGGUUUAAAAGAGUGGUUUACUCCUAUCUUUUCUAACAUUUUUAUAUAUACUGGGAAGCUUACUUUUGGUGUGGUAGAAUAUACCAACGUCAGAGUUUGCUGCAGCCAUUAUAUCUUGAAUAAUAAGGUAAAAAGGGUUUCAAUGGAUUGCCGUACAAAGUCAGUAGUCUCAUUACAAAAAACCGUAAUUUUCUAUCACUUAUGACCUCAAAUCAGGCAAGAUUACCCGCUGAACUUAAGCAUAUUAAUAAGCGGAGGAAAAGAAACUAACAAGGAUUCCCUCAGUAACGGCGAGUGAAGCGGGAAUAGCUCAAAUUUGAAAUCUUUGAGGGGCAACCUCAACGAAUUGUAGUUUAGAGAAAUGCUUUCUGGGGUGGGACGCCGUCCAAGUUCUUUGGAACGAGACAUCAGAGAGGGUGAGAAUCCCGUAUCUGGCGGCGAGUCUCCCAUUCCUAUACGGGGCGUUUUCGAAGAGUCGGGUUGUUUGGGAAUGCAGCCCAAAAUGGGUGGUAAAUUUCAUCUAAAGCUAAAUACAGGCACGAGACCGAUAGCGAACAAGUACCGUGAGGGAAAGAUGAAAAGCACUUUGAAAAGAGAGUUAAAUAGCACGUGAAGCCGUUAAAAUGGAAAACGAUUGAAGUCAGCAGUGCUUGUCCAGCAAUCAAUCCAGAGCCCCUUUGGUGCGGUGGCUUUCCUACAUUGGAGGUUGUUGCAGUUUAGGGGGGUUACGGGUGCACUUGUUGGAAGGAGCAGGUCAGCAUCGGUUUGGCUGCAGCGGGGCAAGGUGAGGAGGAAGGUAACCCUUGACUGGGCGUUUAAGCCUCUUUACUGAGACGCUAGCUAGACCGAGGAAACUACACAGUACAGGCCAAUUAACUUUGGCUAAGAGGGCUCAUCAGCAUGGUGUUUCCAGACGGCCGGAUUACUGUUUCACGACAUGUGGUUCGGUGCUGGGGGUGCUAGAGUUGGUGGUCAUUCAUACCUUGUACUGCGGAUGCUGACGAAAUGGCUUUAACCGACCCGUCUUGAAACACGGACCAAGGAGUCUAACAUAUGCGCAAGUCUUAGGGUGGCAAACCCGGGAGGCGAAAUGAAAGUAAAGGCAGUCUUGGGCUGCUGAGGUGAGAGCCUGUCACAGGGCGCAUCACCGACCGAUCUGGAUUUUUUUGAAAGAUUUGAGUAAGAGCGUAUCUGUUGGGACCCGAAAGAUGGUGAACUAUGCCUGAAUAGGGUGAAGCCAGAGGAAACUCUGGUGGAGGCUCGUAGCGGUUCUGACGUGCAAAUCGAUCGUCAAAUUUGGGUAUAGGGGCGAAAGACUAAUCGAACCAUCUAGUAGCUGGUUCCCAC
Molecule: unclassified non-coding RNA, 2050 nt
Filed under: uncultured fungus
Lineage: Eukaryota; Fungi
Description: sequence contains 18S rRNA gene, ITS1, 5.8S rRNA gene, ITS2, 28S rRNA gene
Rfam family: Eukaryotic large subunit ribosomal RNA (bases 906-2050)
Source: RNAcentral